This 1439-nucleotide ribosomal RNA is filed under the name uncultured prokaryote. RNAcentral describes it as "bacterial SSU rRNA". It matches the Rfam family "Bacterial small subunit ribosomal RNA". The record is from RNAcentral.
UGCCAUGCGGCAGCUUACCAUGCAAGUCGAGCGGGGAAAGGUAGCUUGCUACCUAACCUAGCGGCGGACGGGUGAGUAAUGCUUAGGAAUCUGCCUAUUAGUGGGGGACAACAUUCCGAAAGGAAUGCUAAUACCGCAUACGCCCUACGGGGGAAAGCAGGGAAUCUUCGGACCUUGCGCUAAUAGAUGAGCCUAAGUCAGAUUAGCUAGUUGGUGGGGUAGAGGCCUACCAAGGCGACGAUCUGUAGCGGGUCUGAGAGGAUGAUCCGCCACACUGGGACUGAGACACGGCCCAGACUCCUACGGGAGGCAGCAGUGGGGAAUAUUGGACAAUGGGCGAAAGCCUGAUCCAGCCAUGCCGCGUGUGUGAAGAAGGCCUUUUGGUUGUAAAGCACUUUAAGCGAGGAGGAGGCUACCGAGAUUAAUACUCUUGGAUAGUGGACAUUACUCGCAGAAUAAGCACCGGCUAACUCUGUGCCAGCAGCCGCGGUAAUACAGAGGGUGCGAGCGUUAAUCGGAUUUACUGGGCGUAAAGCGUGCGUAGGCGGCUUUUUAAGUCGGAUGUGAAAUCCCUGAGCUUAACUUAGGAAUUGCAUUCGAUACUGGGAAGCUAGAGUAUGGGAGAGGAUGGUAGAAUUCCAGGUGUAGCGGUGAAAUGCGUAGAGAUCUGGAGGAAUACCGAUGGCGAAGGCAGCCAUCUGGCCUAAUACUGACGCUGAGGUACGAAAGCAUGGGGAGCAAACAGGAUUAGAUACCCUGGUAGUCCAUGCCGUAAACGAUGUCUACUAGCCGUUGGGGCCUUUGAGGCUUUAGUGGCGCAGCUAACGCGAUAAGUAGACCGCCUGGGGAGUACGGUCGCAAGACUAAAACUCAAAUGAAUUGACGGGGGCCCGCACAAGCGGUGGAGCAUGUGGUUUAAUUCGAUGCAACGCGAAGAACCUUACCAGGUCUUGACAUACUCGUGCUAUUCCUAGAGAUAGGAAGUUCCUUCGGGACACGGGAUACAGGUGGUGCAUGGUUGUCGUCAGCUCGUGUCGUGAGAUGUUGGGUUAAGUCCCGCAACGAGCGCAACCCCUAUCGUUAGUUGCCAUCAUUAAGUUGGGCACUCUAACGAGACUGCCGGUGAUAAACCGGAGGAAGGUGGGGAUGACGUCAAAUCAUCAUGCCCCUUAUGACCUGGGCUACACACGUGCUACAAUGGAUGGUACAACGAGUCGCGAGACAGUGAUGUUUAGCUAAUCUCUUAAAACCAUUCUCAGUUCGGAUUGUAGGCUGCAACUCGCCUACAUGAAGUCGGAAUCGCUAGUAAUCGCGGAUCAGCACGCCGCGGUGAAUACGUUCCCGGGCCUUGUACACACCGCCCGUCACACCACGGGAGUUGGGAGUACCCGAAGUAGGUUGCCUAACCGCAAGGAGGGCGCUCCUAAGUAGACCCAUGG